Molecule: ribosomal RNA, 460 nt
Filed under: uncultured bacterium
Lineage: Bacteria
Description: partial 16S ribosomal RNA
Rfam family: Bacterial small subunit ribosomal RNA
Source: RNAcentral
CCUACGGGGGACAGCAGUGAGGAAUAUUGGUCAAUGGCCGUAAGGCUGAACCAGCCAAGUCGCGUGAAGGAAGAAGGAUCUAUGGUUUGUAAACUUCUUUUAUAGGGGAAUAAAGGUAUCCACGUGUGGCUAUUUGCAUGUACCCUAUGAAUAAGCAUCGGCUAACUCCGUGCCAGCAGCCGCGGUAAUACGGAGGAUGCGAGCGUUAUCCGGAUUUAUUGGGUUUAAAGGGUGCGUAGGUUGUUUUUUAAGUCAGCGGUGAAAGUUUGUGGCUCAACCAUAAAAUUGCCGUUGAAACUGGAAGACUUGAGUGUGUUUGAGGUAGGCGGAAUGCGUGGUGUAGCGGUGAAAUGCAUAGAUAUCACGCAGAACACCGAUUGCGAAGGCAGCUUACUAAGCCAUAACUGACACUGAAGCACGAAAGCGUGGGGAUCAAACAGGAUUAGAUACCCGAGUAGUC